RNAcentral lists this long non-coding RNA (216 nucleotides) under Chinchilla lanigera (long-tailed chinchilla). RNAcentral describes it as "lncRNA (ENSCLAG00000025435.1)". Lineage: Eukaryota; Metazoa; Chordata; Mammalia; Rodentia; Chinchillidae. The record is from RNAcentral.
UGCCAGUAACCAGCCAGAAGCAAGUCCUCUCUGGCAUGAUGCUGUGAGGAAGAUUGGUCAUUGGGAAUCAUAGUCCUGACCAAGAGAAGAUCUGCACUACUUCUUCAGCUGGUGAGCAUCGCUGGAUGUCAUAUAUGUGAACAACCACACAGCUGAAGCACAUGGAGCUGGGCAAAGUGUCAGGCAAUAAUCAAGGAUAAAAUAUUUCCUGAAAGG